AGUGAACGCUGGCGGUAGGCCUAACACAUGCAAGUCGAACGGCAGCAGAGUAAAACUUGGUUCUUUGCGGACGCGAGGGGGGGAGGGGUGAGGUAUACGGGAGAAUCUAUUUUUUCGGGGGGGAACUCGUGGGGAAAGUUACUCAUAUCGCAUAACGGACCAACAGCAAAAAGGAGGAGCUUUUGGCACCUUGCCCGCGUGAAUGCGCCGAUGUGGGAUUCGCUAGUGGGGGGGGUAACGGCCCACCUAGGCGACGAUCCGUAGCUGGUCUGAGAGGAUGACCAGCCACACUGGAACUGAGACACGGUCCAGACUCCUACGGGAGGCAGCAGUGGGGAAUAUUGGACAAUGGGCGCAAGCCUGAUGCAGCCAUGCCGCGUGGAUGAAGAAGGCCUUCGGGUUGUAAAGUCCUUUUGUUGGGAAAGAAAAGCAGCAGGUUAAUACCUCGCUGUAUUGACGGUACCCAAAGAAUAAGCACCGGCUAACUUCGUG
Molecule: ribosomal RNA, 492 nt
Filed under: uncultured bacterium
Lineage: Bacteria
Description: partial 16S ribosomal RNA
Rfam family: Bacterial small subunit ribosomal RNA
Source: RNAcentral